The sequence is a transfer RNA, 74 nucleotides long. It matches the Rfam family "tRNA". Rfam says of the family: Transfer RNA (tRNA) molecules are approximately 80 nucleotides in length. Their secondary structure includes four short double-helical elements and three loops (D, anti-codon, and T loops). The record is from Rfam.
GCGCCCGUAGCUCAGCGGAAUAGAGCACUCGCCUUCUAAGCGAUUGGUCGUUGGUUCGAGUCCAACCGGGCGCG